GGGGCGGUAGCUCAGUUGGGAGAGCGCUGCGUUCGCAAUGCAGAGGCCGAGGGUUCGACUCCCUUCCGCUCCACCA
Molecule: transfer RNA, 76 nt
Filed under: Pseudomonadota bacterium
Lineage: Bacteria; Pseudomonadati; Pseudomonadota
Also listed under: 1 other name
Description: tRNA-Ala
Rfam family: tRNA
About the family: Transfer RNA (tRNA) molecules are approximately 80 nucleotides in length. Their secondary structure includes four short double-helical elements and three loops (D, anti-codon, and T loops).
Source: RNAcentral